Molecule: long non-coding RNA, 932 nt
Filed under: Hordeum vulgare
Lineage: Eukaryota; Viridiplantae; Streptophyta; Magnoliopsida; Poales; Poaceae
Description: long non-coding RNA (HVUL_LNC009725)
Source: RNAcentral
GGUCCAACCAGUCGCGCCCACUCUCUCCAUUUCCCCACCGCCCCAACCACCGAUCGAUCCAGUGUAUCAAGGGUUGAGUCCUGUCCCUAAACACCCCAGUCGGCUGCCCCAAGCUCCUCCUUCCUCGAGCUCGCUCCUCGCCCGAGCGCCUCGCUCAACCGCACCCCUGAAGCACGAGCACCGCACUAGGCCCCACUUGAGGCCCACAUCGCCAGAGCUAGUCCUAAGCCCUGCCUCGCGCCCAAUGAUCCCCUUCCUCUCCUUCCUCGUUUCCCCUUCUUCUACUCAUGAUCAUCUCUCCCUCUCUCGUUUAUUUGGUCACGAAAUCCAUGGAUGCUCAAACUCCGCCGGGAAUGGAGUCCCCAGCUCCACUAGCCCCGGAUCUGGCCAUAUCCGCUCCAUCCCCGAGUCUGCAUCGCUCUGUUGCCUCCGGUUAAUGCACCAGUAAGAGGAAGAUGAAGCCGUGUGUUGCUGCCUAGCUCGCUCGUGUGGAGCGAUGCGCCAAGCCACCGACCUCCGCACCCUUCCUGUCGUUGCCAACCUGCCUAGCCCCCGCCUCCCCAUCAUCAUCCCUGGAGCGUCGUCGCAUCGCCGUCUCCCUGUCUCGGGCAGGAGGAGAAGCACGAGCGCCCGCUCGCCCGGUCCGCCUCCGUCUCGCGGGCCAUCACCAGGCCCAGGCGUGCCUCGCCCCUGCCACCUCCAGCCUUUGCCAUAGAGCUUUUGGCCCCAGGUGAGCGCCACCUAAAUCCGCCCGUGCGCCAUUUUACUAUUUGUCGCCCAUGGCUCUUUUUCGGCUCGUAGCUAGAUUCGGCCCGCGGUACUUUUUUGACAUUGUGCGAUUUUGCUAAUUUCCAGGACAUUUAAAUUACAUAAAAAUGCAUAUUUUUCAAAUUCCCAUAACUAAUUAACCGUGCAUCAUAAGAAAAUAAAUU